Molecule: long non-coding RNA, 694 nt
Organism: Symphalangus syndactylus (siamang)
Lineage: Eukaryota; Metazoa; Chordata; Mammalia; Primates; Hylobatidae
Source: RefSeq, a predicted model, not a curated record
GGUCCCCUUACACACGGUGGAAGCUUUGUUCUUUUGCUGUUUGCAAUAAAUCUUGUUACUGCUCACUCUUUGGGUCAAUGCUGCUUUUAUGAGCUGUAACACUCACCGCGAAGGUCUGCAGCUUCACUCCUGAAGCCAGCGAGACCACGAGCCCACCGGGAGGAACGAACAACUCCAGACGUGCCACCUUAAGAGCUGUAACACUCACGGCGAAGGUCUGCAGCUUCACUCCUGAGCCAGCGAGACCACGAACCCCCCAGAAGGAAGAAACUCCGAACACAUCUGAACAUCAGAAGGAACGAACAACUCCAGACGCACCACCUUAAGAGCUGUAACACUCACCGCGAGGAGACCCAUGAAAUCCGGGGUCUCAGAACAGAGUAGAGGGCAGAGAAAGCACAGGAUGACCAGCUGCAGAUAGGGGCUACCUUCUCUUCUGAGAGCUGCAGAGACAAAGGAGGCCCCACUCUAGGGCCUCCUCUCUGCCGAGAGUUGAAGACGAAUGACCAGCUGCAGAGAGGAUCUACACUCCGGACUGAACACUUGUUGGGAUGACCUGCCUGCAGAGAGGAGCUCCCUCUCUGCAAGGAGCUGAACACCUGUCAGGACACCCUGACUACAGAGAGGAGCUACCCACUGCGGGUCUUCUCUGAGCUGUUCAGUUGCUCAAUAAAGCUCCUCUUCAUUUUGCUCA